RNAcentral lists this ribosomal RNA (253 nucleotides) under uncultured bacterium. RNAcentral's name for it is "partial 16S ribosomal RNA". It matches the Rfam family "Bacterial small subunit ribosomal RNA", at positions 524 to 776 of the family's 1533-position model. The record is from RNAcentral.
GACGAACCGGACAAACGUUAUUCGGAAUUACUGGGCUUAAAGGGUUUGUAGGCGGCCUUGUAAGUGGGGUGUGAAAGCCCACGGCUCAACCGUGGAAGUGCAUUCCAUACUGCAAGGCUUGAGGGAGACAGAGGUAAGCGGAACUGAUGGUGGAGCGGUGAAAUGCGUUGAUAUCAUCAGGAACACCGGUGGCGAAAGCGGCUUACUGGGUCUCUUCUGACGCUGAGAAACGAAAGCUAGGGGAGCGAACGGG